This 253-nucleotide ribosomal RNA is filed under the name uncultured bacterium. Its description in RNAcentral is "partial 16S ribosomal RNA". It matches the Rfam family "Bacterial small subunit ribosomal RNA", at positions 524 to 776 of the family's 1533-position model. The record is from RNAcentral.
GACAGAGGGUGCAAACGUUGUUCGGAAUUACUGGGCGUAAAGCGAGCGUAGGCGGCUCGAUAAGUCGGGUGUGAAAGCCCUGAGCUCAACUCAGGAAGUGCAUUCGAAACUGUCAGGCUAGAGUGUCGGAGAGGUUGAUGGAAUUCUCGGUGUAGAGGUGAAAUUCGUAGAUAUCGAGAGGAACACCGGUGGCGAAGGCGGUCAACUGGACGACAACUGACGCUGAGGCUCGAAAGCGUGGGGAGCAAACAGG